RNAcentral lists this long non-coding RNA (1180 nucleotides) under Cyanistes caeruleus (blue tit). Its description in RNAcentral is "lncRNA (ENSCCEG00000001208.1)". Lineage: Eukaryota; Metazoa; Chordata; Aves; Passeriformes; Paridae. The record is from RNAcentral.
UUCAGCCUACUCCAAAUCCUCCUUUUUCCCCUCAAAUCCUGGGAAUUUUGGGCCUGGCCUACCCCAAAUCCCACUUUUCCCUCCAAAACAUUGGAAUUUUACCCUCAGCACUUCCCACUUUUCCCACUUUUCCCUCAGAAAUCUUGGAAUUUUGAGUUUGGCCUACUCCAAAUCCUCCUUUUUUCGCUCAAAUCCCGGGAAUUUUGGGCCCUUUUCCCUCAGAAAUUGUGGAAUUUUGUGCUCAGCACUUCCCUCUUUUCCCACUUUUCCCUCAGAAAUCUUGGAAUUCUGAGCUCGGCCUACUCCAAAUCCUCCUUUUUCCCCUCAAAUCCUGGGAAUUUUGGGCCUGGCCUACCCCAAAUCCCACUUUUCCCUCCAAAACAUUGGAAUUUUACCCUCAGCACUUCCCACUUUUCCAACUUUUCCCUCAGAAAUCUGGGAAUUUUGAUCUUGGCCUACUCCAAAUUCCACUUUUCCCUCCAAAACUUUGGAAUUUUACCCUCAGCACUUCCCUCUUUUCCAACUUUUCCCUCAGAAAUCUGGAAUUUUGGGCCUGGCCUACUCCAAAUUCUCCUUUUUCCCCUCAAAUCCUGGGAAUUUUGGGCCCUUUUCCCUCAGAAAUCUUGGAAUUUUGAUCUUGGCCUACUCCAAAUCCCACUUUUCCCUCCAAAACUUUGGAAUUUUACCCUCAGCACUUCCCACUUUUCCAACUUUUCCCUCAGAAAUCCUGGAAUUUUGGGCCUGGCCCUGCCCAAUUCCCAACUUUUCCCCUUGGAAUUCUCUGGGAAAAGCGGGAAAAGCCUCUUUUUCCUCAGCCCAGGGGAUUUUUUUUGGGAUAAAAAAGGGAAAUUCCUGUGAAUUUCCUGGAGUUUUGGGAUUAUUUUUAUUCCUGAGGGAGGAAUGGGAUUAAUGAGUUUGUAUUAAUUAAUUGAUUGAGUCCAAUUAACGGGAUUUAUUUAAUUAUUGGGUUAAUUUUGGUUAUUUCGGGGUUAUUUGGAUUCGAAAUCCUUUUUAUUCCUUUAUUUUAAUUCUGAUUAAUUGGAAUUUGAAUUAAUUUUUGUUUAUUGUUGUUUUUAAUCCAUUUCUUUUUUUUAAUUCCUUAUAAAGAUCCUUUUUAAAGAAAGAUGUUAAUGAUAAAUUAAUCAAUAAAUUAAUAUUAAUAAAAGUAAUUUUAAAAUGG